RNAcentral lists this ribosomal RNA (409 nucleotides) under uncultured bacterium. RNAcentral describes it as "bacterial SSU rRNA". It matches the Rfam family "Bacterial small subunit ribosomal RNA", at positions 29 to 412 of the family's 1533-position model. The record is from RNAcentral.
AACGAACGCUGGCGGCGUGGAUAAGACAUGCAAGUCGAACGUUGCUUGUCAAAUAGUAAUAUUUGGCUAGCGACGUGGCGAAAGGGUGCGUAACAUGUGGGUAAUCUGCCGUAAAGUUCGGAAUAACUUGUUGAAAAAUAAACUAAUGCCGAAUGUAAAAAAUAAAGGAAAUCCUUUGUUUUUUAAAGUUAGGGACCGCAAGGCCUGAUGCUUUACGUAUGAGCCCGCCAACCUAUCAGCUAGUUGGUGAAGAAUUGCUCACCAAGGCUAAGACGGGUAGCUGGUCUGAGAGGACGACCAGCCACACUGGAACUGAGACACGGUCCAGACACCUACGGGUGGCAGCAGUCGAGAAUUUUUCUUCAAUGGGGGGAAACCCGUGAAGGAGCGACGCCGCGUGGAGGAUGAA